GAAAUCGUAAUACCUAGUGAAGGGAGCAAACGAGCUAGUGCGGGUAGUGGAAGAGCUAUUGAGUGUAGGGGAAGAACUAUGCGGUAUUUCGACGCGAGAGAUUUCCACGCACUAACGCCAUCCAUGCUUAAUAGAUGCUUAAUCGAUGAACUCUCUGUCACACAUACGCACCUUACUUGAGCCGAGUCCUGAUGUUAAGGUCAAUCCAGGUUUUUUACCGUUAUCUUUGUGCUCGCUAUCACUUAGAUGUAUAAUAUCUGCGGUGUAAGUGAGAGCUAUUAUACUCAUACCGUGUAAUGCACUGGACAUGUUAUGUGUAUCAUCGAUAGCGAGUUUUCUCGUGUGUAAUUAAACUGGACAACGAUCUUAUUCUCACA
This is a long non-coding RNA of Priapulus caudatus, 377 nucleotides long. RefSeq lists it as uncharacterized. The record is from RefSeq and is a predicted model, not a curated record. The transcript is spliced from 2 exons. NCBI's taxonomy places the organism in Eukaryota, Metazoa, Priapulida, Priapulimorpha, Priapulimorphida, Priapulidae.